GUGAAUCAUCAAAUUUUUGAACGCAAAUGGCACUCCCUGGUAUUCCGGGGAGUAUGCCUGUUUGAGGGUCGUUAGAAUAAAAAAUCGAGGCGUCGCUCUUUGUUUUAAGGGGGAUGGUGUCGGAAUUGAGCGGUCUUUAAAAUGUUAAUUCAUGUUAAAGUGGCUUAAAAUUCAUCAAGCCGGUACGAUAAAAGCGUAGUAAAGAUCAAUUUUGAUUAAGAAUGCGCGAUGAACGUACCAUCUCAUGGAGUACGUUUGAUUUGACGUCGUCAGGAU
This 276-nucleotide unclassified non-coding RNA is filed under the name Glomeraceae sp. Its description in RNAcentral is "partial contains 5.8S ribosomal RNA and internal transcribed spacer 2". The stretch from base 1 to 71 matches the Rfam family "5.8S ribosomal RNA", at positions 84 to 154 of the family's 154-position model. Lineage: Eukaryota; Fungi; Glomeromycota; Glomeromycetes; Glomerales; Glomeraceae. The record is from RNAcentral.